UGUGGGAGCGGGCUUGCCCGCGAUGACGGCGUCACUAUCACCAUAAAUAUCGGCUGAUAGAUCGCUAUCGCGGGCAAGCCCGCUCCCACA
RNAcentral lists this unclassified non-coding RNA (90 nucleotides) under Pseudomonas arsenicoxydans. The record is from RNAcentral. Lineage: Bacteria; Pseudomonadati; Pseudomonadota; Gammaproteobacteria; Pseudomonadales; Pseudomonadaceae.